CAUUUCUUUCAUCUUCUUGUAGCGAUAAACAAUGCCGAAUAUAUUUAAUAGCUGCCUCUUAUACUCGUGAAUGCGCUUGAUCUGAACAUCAAACAUCGCAUCGGGACUGACCACGUAUCCUGUUUUUUCUUUAAUGAGAGAGACAAUCUUCAUUUUGUUAUUUCCUUUUGCCUUCCUCCACUCAGACUGGAGUUCUUCGUUAUCAGCAAACUUUCGAAGCUCUGCCAAUUUUUCAGUGUUUACCAACCAAUCAUCAGAUCCUGUCCAUUUGGUUAUAAUUUCACUCAACUCUGGGUUACAGAAACUUAACCAUCUUCUUGGUGUCACACCAUUUGUCUUGUUUUGGAAUUUCUCUGGCCAUAACUUGUAAAAUUCAUUGAAAACUUCAUCUUUAACUAUUUCACUAUGAAUCUCAGCAACACCGUUAACUGCAUGACCACUAACUACACAUAGAUUUGCCAUGUGAACCACCUGUGGUCUAUUUGCAUGUGGCCCGAAUAUCCGUUUUAUUUUUGCUUGACUAUCCUUGACCUCAACCUUCUCAACCUCAGUUUCCUCCUCUACGUUCGUAGUUUCUGCUUUUACAGCCUCAGUUUCCUCAUCUUUACCUUCUUCUAGUUGUUCUUCUUCUGCUGCUUUUUCGACAUCAGCAGCAUUUUCUUCGGCUUUGAUAAGUAACUCCAAAACAGAAGUAGGUAUUUCAACAUUAUCCAGAAUCCUCAUUUGGUUUAGCUUUUCUUGCAACAAGUCAAGAUCUUCAGUACCAUAUUCAGUAAGUAUAGUUAGCAAAAGCUCCUCAUCUAUCAUUGCUAUGAUCUCCACGUGCCGAGGAAGCAGUUCACCAAGAAGUGUGAAGCUCCAUUUCUCUAGAGCCUCGGGUAAAACAGUGUGGUUAGUGUAUGCGACCGUUCUUUGAGUAAUUCCCCAUGCCUGCUUCCAGCUCAAACCUUUAACAUCUAUCAAUAUCCUUAAAAGUUCUGGUAUGCAAAGUGUUGGAUGAGUGUCAUUCAUCUGUACUGCAACCUUUUCCGGGAACUGAUCCCAGUUCACUGCAUUCCCUGAUCUCUUCUCGAACCGUGCAAUAAUGUCCUGAAGAGAAGCAGAACAUAGGGUGUAUUGUUGCUUUAACCGAAGUGUCUUUCCCUCAAGUGACUCGUCACCUGGAUAUAAGACAUAGCAAAUCUUCUCAGCCUUUUUCUGUGCCUCAUAUGCUUUGGCAUGGUCUCCGUUGUUAAAAGCAUGUAGAUCAAAAGCUUCUGCAGCUAGCUUUGUUGACCACAGUCGAAGGUUGAUAGUUGUUUUUGUUUUAUAUCCUGGUAUUGGGACA
Molecule: unclassified non-coding RNA, 1327 nt
Filed under: Hevea brasiliensis (rubber tree)
Lineage: Eukaryota; Viridiplantae; Streptophyta; Magnoliopsida; Malpighiales; Euphorbiaceae
Source: RNAcentral